CCUACGGGUGGCAGCAGUGAGGAAUAUUGGUCAAUGGGCGCAAGCCUGAACCAGCCAAGUCGCGUGAGGGAGGACGGUCCUAUGGAUUGUAAACAUCUUUUGUCGGGGAGCAAGGCCCGCCACGUGUGGAGGGAAGGAGAGUACCCGAAGAAAAAGCAUCGGCUAACUCCGGGACAGCAGCCGCGGUAAUACGGAGGAUGCGAGCGUGAUCCGGAUUUAAUGGGUUUAAGGGGUGCGUAGGCGGAAGGUUAAGUCAGCGGUCCAAUGUCGGUGCUCAACACCGGCCCGCCGUUGAAACGGGUCUUGUUGAGUGCGCGAGAAUUAUGCGGAAUGCGUGGUGUAGCGGUGAAAUGCAUAGAUAUCACGCAGAACUCCGAUUGCGAAGGCAGCAUACCGGCGCUCAACUGACGCUGAGGCACGAAAGCGUGGGGAUCGAACAGGAUUAGAUACCCCUGUAGUC
This 460-nucleotide ribosomal RNA is filed under the name uncultured bacterium. RNAcentral describes it as "partial 16S ribosomal RNA". It matches the Rfam family "Bacterial small subunit ribosomal RNA", at positions 338 to 795 of the family's 1533-position model. The record is from RNAcentral.